CCCCUAUUAAUACUCUUGCAUAAUAAAGGAAAACUAAUCCAACAUCGAGGUCGCAAACACAUUUGUCAAUUUGAACUUUCAAAAUAUAUUACGCUGUUAUCCCUAAAGUAACUUAUUUAAUAUUCAAAAGUUUUGGGUAUUAAAAACUAUCCUAUUUAUAAUAAUUUAAAAGUGUUUUUCUUCUUACCGCCCCAGUAAAACAUAUUUUCAAUUUUCUAGAUUAUUUUAUGUAAAGCUUUAUAGGGUCUUCUUGUCUAAAAGAUGUAUUUUAGCCUUUUUACUAAAAAGUAAAGUUAAAAAAGUAAAAUUAAAAAAGAGCUUUUCCAGUCUAUCCUUUCAUUCCAGUCUUCAAUUAUAAGACUA
Molecule: ribosomal RNA, 363 nt
Filed under: Centruroides bani
Lineage: Eukaryota; Metazoa; Arthropoda; Arachnida; Scorpiones; Buthidae
Description: partial 16S ribosomal RNA
Source: RNAcentral